RNAcentral lists this transfer RNA (69 nucleotides) under Sipunculus nudus (marine worm). Its description in RNAcentral is "tRNA-Gln". It matches the Rfam family "tRNA". Rfam says of the family: Transfer RNA (tRNA) molecules are approximately 80 nucleotides in length. Their secondary structure includes four short double-helical elements and three loops (D, anti-codon, and T loops). The record is from RNAcentral. Lineage: Eukaryota; Metazoa; Annelida; Sipuncula; Golfingiida; Sipunculidae.
UGUGUAGUAGUGUAUGCCGCACGCGGGCCUUUGAUCCCCGAAGAAAGGGUUAAACCCCCCUCUCCACAA